CUUGGCUCUCGCAUCGAUGAAAAACGCAGCGAAAUGCGAUAAGUAAUGUGAAUUGCAAAAUUCAGUGAAUCAUCGAAUCUUUGAACGCAUCUUGCGCUCCUUGGUAUUCCAAGGAGCAUGCCUGUUUGAGUGUC
This 134-nucleotide ribosomal RNA is filed under the name uncultured Cortinariaceae. RNAcentral's name for it is "5.8S ribosomal RNA". It matches the Rfam family "5.8S ribosomal RNA", at positions 20 to 154 of the family's 154-position model. From Rfam's summary of the family: 5.8S ribosomal RNA (5.8S rRNA) is a component of the large subunit of the eukaryotic ribosome. It is transcribed by RNA polymerase I as part of the 45S precursor that also contains 18S and 28S rRNA. The record is from RNAcentral. Lineage: Eukaryota; Fungi; Basidiomycota; Agaricomycetes; Agaricales; Cortinariaceae.